Molecule: ribosomal RNA, 378 nt
Filed under: Triticum aestivum (bread wheat)
Lineage: Eukaryota; Viridiplantae; Streptophyta; Magnoliopsida; Poales; Poaceae
Description: partial small subunit ribosomal RNA
Source: RNAcentral
CCGAUCAUGUGCUAGAACGUGCACGACUUAAACUCUCCGACCAUGAGGGAGGCAGAGCGUGAGGUGGUCGCGGCUCACCUAGCCGCCAUCCUUUGCUCCCAAGAGACAAAAUUAGAUGUUUGGACUCCUGAACUAGCACGCGACAUCGACGGUGGCACCCUGCUCGGUUGUGUCGUGCUGCCGGCCAUCGAUACGCGUGGAGGCGUCGCCAUCCUUUGGAACAAGGACAUAGUUUUAGUAGACACCCAUGCCAUAGGUCAGUUCGCAAUCACGAUGAGGAUUACCCUAGCCUGCAACCUCACGCGCUUCUGGCUCACCACGGUCUACAGACCGGCCGAGGACAUGAACAAAGACGACUUCCUUGCCGAGCUAGCCUAG